GGCUCAGAACGAACGCUGGCGGCGUGCUUAACACAUGCAAGUCGAACGAACCUUCGGGUUAGUGGCGGACGGGUGAGUAACGCGUGAGAAUCUGCCCUCAGGAGGGGGAUAACGGUUGGAAACGACCGCUAAUACCCCAUAUGCCGAGAGGUGAAAAGAAAUUCGCCUGAGGAUGAGCUCGCGUCUGAUUAGCUAGUUGGUGUGGUAAUGGCGCACCAAGGCUUCGAUCAGUAGCUGGUCUGAGAGGAUGAUCAGCCACACUGGGACUGAGACACGGACCAGACUCCUACGGGAUGCAGCAGUGGGG
This 307-nucleotide ribosomal RNA is filed under the name uncultured bacterium. RNAcentral describes it as "bacterial SSU rRNA". It matches the Rfam family "Bacterial small subunit ribosomal RNA", at positions 21 to 359 of the family's 1533-position model. The record is from RNAcentral.